Molecule: ribosomal RNA, 505 nt
Filed under: uncultured Oscillibacter sp.
Lineage: Bacteria; Bacillati; Bacillota; Clostridia; Eubacteriales; Oscillospiraceae
Description: bacterial SSU rRNA
Rfam family: Bacterial small subunit ribosomal RNA
Source: RNAcentral
CUAGAGAGUUUGAGUCCUGGCGUCAGGCAAGCUGGCGGCGUGCUUAACACAUGCAAAGUCGAACGGAGCACCCCUGAAAGAGUUUUCGGACAAUGGAAGGGAAUGCUUAGUGGCGGACUGGUGAGUAACGCGUGAGGAACCUGCCUUCCAGAGGGGGACAACAGUUGGAAACGACUGCUAAUACCGCAUGAUGUGUUUCGAUGGCAUCAUCGAGACACCAAAGAUUUAUCGCUGGAAGAUGGCCUCGCGUCUGAUUAGCUGGUAGGCGGGGUAACGGCCCACCUAGGCGACGAUCAGUAGCCGGACUGAGAGGUUGACCGGCCACAUUGAGACUGAGAUACGGCCCAGACUCCUACGGGAGGCAGCAGUGGGGAAUAUUGGGCAAUGGGCGCAAGCCUGACCCAGCAACGCCGCGUGAAGGAAGAAGGCUUUCGGGUUGUAAACUUCUUUUAAGAGGGAAGAGCAGAAGACGGUACCUCUUGAAUAAGCCACGGCUAACUACGUG